This is a long non-coding RNA of Corapipo altera (White-ruffed manakin), 836 nucleotides long. RefSeq lists it as uncharacterized. The transcript is spliced from 3 exons. The record is from RefSeq and is a predicted model, not a curated record. Lineage: Eukaryota; Metazoa; Chordata; Aves; Passeriformes; Pipridae.
GCACCGCGUCCCGCGACGGGUCCCCGAGUGUCACCUCCCUGCUGGCACAGGCUUGGGGACACGCACGGAGCCCCCGGGACAGGCUUCGGUCCCCGAGUGUCACCUCCCUGCUGGCACAGCCUUGGGACAGUGACAGUGUCCCCGGUGUCACCUCCCUGCUGGCACAGCCUUGGGGACAGUGACGGUGUCCCCGGUCUCACCUCCCUGAUGACACAGCCUUGGGGACAUCACUGAGCCCCAGGACGGGCUCUGUCCCCACCUUGUCACCUCCCUGCUGGUGAUGUGGGGUCAGGGAUGGACUCCUGUCCCCACCUUGUCACCUCCCUACUGGCACAACCUUGGGGACAGUGACAGUGUCCCAAGACACACUCUGGUCCCCAAGUGUCACCUCCCUGCUGGUGCAGGGUCAGGGACGGGCUCUGGUCCCCGGGUGUCACCUCCCUGCUGGCCCAGCCUUGGGGACAUCACUGAGCCCCAGGUGUCACCUCCCUGCUGGCCCAGCCUUGGGGACACCCCCGAGCCCCCGGCAGGGCUCAGGUCCCCAAAUGUCCCCCCGACACCAGCAGGUGUCCCCAGAGGUGGGGACAGUGGCGGUGGCAGCAGCACCAAGGACCCUCCGGAGCCACCAGACCCCCCCUGGGCACGGGAACCCUCCGGGGGGGCUCCCAAGGACAAGGGGACCCCAAAGGACAUGGGGACCCCCCCAAGGACAACCAGGACCCCCUCCUGGACACGGGGACCCCAAAGGACAUGGGGACCCCUCCCAAGGACAACCAGGACCCCCUCCUGGACCCCCAAGGACAUGGGGACCCCCCAAGGACAUGGGGACCCCCCCA